This is a long non-coding RNA of Lutra lutra (Eurasian river otter), 569 nucleotides long. RefSeq lists it as uncharacterized. The transcript is spliced from 3 exons. The record is from RefSeq and is a predicted model, not a curated record. Lineage: Eukaryota; Metazoa; Chordata; Mammalia; Carnivora; Mustelidae.
CUUGAGUGUGGCAGUGGGUGCAGGGGUUUCUUGGACACACUCCUUGGUUUUCUACAGGUAUGUUCCCAUACAUGGAACUGUGGGAUCCUGUGGUAGAUCUAUUUGUAUUUUUUCAAGGAACAUCCAUUCUGUUUUGCAUAGUGACUGUCCCAAUGUGCAUUCCCACCAAUGGUGCUCAGAGCUUCCCUUUUCUCCAUGGCAUCCUCAGCAGCAUCUGUUAGCUCUUGUCUUCUUAAUGACAGCUAAAUUCCAACUGAUGUGAUAUCUCAUUAUGCUCUUCAUUGCAUUUUUCUGAUGGUUAGUCAUGGUCAGGACAUUUUUCCCUACAUGUUUCUCAUGUGUUUAUGUUGUUCUGGAAGUGCCAGACACUGGACACUGUGUCUGUGGCCCAGCGAUAAGACUAGUCUCCAUGAGAUCUUCAGGGUCGUACUUUGGACAUACAGGGGUGGGUGCAGAAGCACUCUUCUGGCUGAGGUGAGGGUGUGGAAUAGUAAAGAGGACACCCUGCGAGUGGACAGAAAAGGAGGAAAGGGAGGGUUCUGAGGCCGUUUCUUCUGCCGUUGGAGCCU